UCACCUUUCUAAAGUUAUUAUACUUAUCUGCUUUUAUUUCCCUAAAUCAUCAAAGAUUUCAACCAACAUUAAGACUGCUUUCCUAUUUGCCAGGACAAUUCUUACUCAUUCCAUUUCUAUGUCAUAUAUUGUUGACACUGUGAAGAAAACUUCUAAAAUUCCAGUUGGAUAGUCCUGUGGGAAGUCUUAUUAUUGACACUUACUAUAAUUAGCAUACAAGCUUUUGGGCUUCUUUCUAAUUAAACUGGGCAUUUUGCUAUUUAUAAGAAUAGUAGUAGUGGUAGCAAUAAUAAAGAUAAUUAUGAAAGUGGCUAUGUUCCUCAGCCUUGUCUCAUUGUUUACUCAACCUAAAUUCUCUUUAAACUAAUUACUAAAGUAUUUUUAUAAUUCACUAGAAUAACAUUUUGUUUUUGAUAAGUAAAUAUUUUAUUGAAGCAAUAGCUGUGCAACAAAGCACCUUAUUCAUGACAUGCACAAGAAUUUCAGAUGUCAACAAGCCCCCUUUCUCUAGACCUAGAUAAUCACUUUUUAUAGGUUUCUGUUCAAUUCAUUGCAACAAAUUCCAUUGAUUGUCUAAAGUGUUUCCAGUUGAUGGUGUUUAAGUGUACUUCAUUUAUUUGUAAUUCAUGCAUGUCUGGAAUGUGAAUCAACAUUUUAGCACAACAUGAAUUUUUAUAGCUUGUGUGUAGUGCUGGCAUUUGCAUUUCUUUUACUGCUUAGUUUAAGUUGAUUUUAUGUCUAAGUUUGGUGAGUGUUUGAAUUGUUUACACUUGACUGCUGAGAUUCUUAUGGUAUGUAUGUCUGUACCGUGAUGUAGCCAUUUUGUGAAGGCAAUGAACUGCUCUUCUACUUCUGGCUUUAACAUACCAACCUAGCAACCCUUGCAUACAUUUUAAGAAUUUUCUUCAGUUAUUCCAGAUUUUCUUCUCUGUAUCAUUGCAAUGAGGAGCAAAUCCCAUAUUUUCUUCAGUGUUCUCUUGUUAAUACUGACACAGUUGUGUGUGUGUGGUGGCAUUAUGAUAUGUCUCUUUGUGCUGUUUAAAUCAAGGUUUAAUUCCUUGUAGAAUGAUCUUAUCAUCCAAUCUUGCUUAUCAGUUAAUAUACUAUUCUUUUAGUUU
This is a long non-coding RNA of Ipomoea nil (Japanese morning glory), 1118 nucleotides long. RefSeq lists it as uncharacterized. The transcript is spliced from 2 exons. Lineage: Eukaryota; Viridiplantae; Streptophyta; Magnoliopsida; Solanales; Convolvulaceae. The record is from RefSeq and is a predicted model, not a curated record.